This 21-nucleotide non-coding RNA is filed under the name Rattus norvegicus (Norway rat). The record is from RNAcentral. Lineage: Eukaryota; Metazoa; Chordata; Mammalia; Rodentia; Muridae.
AUGUUGUAUUUUAGGUUUCUU